GUUUAUCCGGAUUAUUGGGCGUAAAGGGUCCGUAGGCGGUUGAUUAAGUCUGCUGUUAAAGAUUCACAGCUCAACUGUGGUGAGGCGGUGGAAACUGAUUGACUAGAGUAGCGGUAGGGGUAGAGGGAAUUCCCAGUGUAGCGGUGAAAUGCGUAGAUAUUGGGAAGAACACCAGUGGCGAAGGCGCUCUACUGGGCCGUGACUGACGCUGAGGGACGAAAGCUAGGGGAGCGAAAGGGAUUAGAUCCCCCUGUAGU
This 257-nucleotide ribosomal RNA is filed under the name uncultured cyanobacterium. RNAcentral describes it as "partial 16S ribosomal RNA". It matches the Rfam family "Bacterial small subunit ribosomal RNA", at positions 540 to 794 of the family's 1533-position model. The record is from RNAcentral. Lineage: Bacteria; Bacillati; Cyanobacteriota.